This is an unclassified non-coding RNA of Ictidomys tridecemlineatus (thirteen-lined ground squirrel), 91 nucleotides long. The record is from Ensembl. NCBI's taxonomy places the organism in Eukaryota, Metazoa, Chordata, Mammalia, Rodentia, Sciuridae.
GGGGUUGGAAUGUAGAUGUUUGGGACCAAUGUGUAUAAAUAAAUGAAUUGUUGAUAACUUAUUGACCUGGUAGCUUGUUAAAGAAACCCAG